CCUACGGGAGGCAGCAGUGAGGAAUAUUGGUCAAUGGGCGUAAGCCUGAACCAGCCAAGUCGCGUGAGGGAUGAAGGUUCUAUGGAUCGUAAACCUCUUUUAUAAGGGAAUAAAGUGUGGGACGUGUCCUGUUUUGUAUGUACCUUAUGAAUAAGGAUCGGCUAACUCCGUGCCAGCAGCCGCGGUAAUACGGAGGAUCCGAGCGUUAUCCGACUUUAUUGGGUUUAAAGGGUGCGUAGGCGGCCUUUUAAGUCAGCGGUGAAAGUCUGUGGCUCAACCAUAGAAUUGCCGUUGAAACUGGGAGGCUUGAGUAUGUUUGAGGCAGGCGGAAUGCGUGGGGUAGCGGUGAAAUGCUUAGAUAUCACGCAGAACCCCGAUUGCGAAGGCAGCCUGCCAAGCCAUGACUGACGCUGAUGCACGAAAGCGUGGGGAUCAAACAGGAUUAGAUACCCUAGUAGUC
Molecule: ribosomal RNA, 460 nt
Filed under: uncultured bacterium
Lineage: Bacteria
Description: partial 16S ribosomal RNA
Rfam family: Bacterial small subunit ribosomal RNA
Source: RNAcentral